UUUUGUUGUUCUUUUGUUUUUUGUGUGUUUUUGUUUUUGUUUUCCGUCAGAGCCGGACUGUAAUUAGCAUCUUAUUUGUUCAGGCUCGGAACAGUCUUUGUCAGGACCACUGUGCGGGCUACCGAGGUCAGGCUUCCUGCACUGCUCUCUGCGUUGCGACGGGGCAAUAGUGCGGGUUCUAAACUUUUGAUUCAUUCUGCCUUCUUAAUGCAUUUAUUCCUUGUCAAGUUUCCCCUCCUCGUAGCAAGUUUGGACGUCUGAAGAAGUAUCUGAUAGGUUUCAGAAGCAGGCUGCAACUGGUCAUUCGCCUUCUAGUUUUGUCUCUACUUGUAGACGCGGCUGGUGGUUUGCAAAACAAGUGUUUGGAUAGUGUGGUGAUGUGGUGGGAGGAGACAUGAUGGGCUAUGCUUUUGAGCAGCGAGCCUUCCUAAGGGGGGUCACAAUCAAGAAUAACAAGUGGAACUAUGUGAGAAAAAGCUGGCCUCCGGGCCCCGACAGCACCAUCCAAGCCAGCCCAAGAAGACCUCAUUUUGUUUCCUGCCUGCGUGGAGUUCGGUGGGAAAGCUUUGCUGUCGUUGACUCAACAAUAAAAAGGAAGACAGUGUGCACCCUGGGCUCUGUGUCCUGAGAUGAUAAUUACCAGAUUAUCAUUACUUAGUUCACAUGUGUCCCUAUGUUUAUUUUUCUAUAUAUUUCACAUUACAUAUAUACAUCUAUUCAUGCAUACGUUUUAUAUGCAUAUGUUAUUCCCUAGUCUAUCUGUACAAAUAUGUAUAUUUGGUAUGUACACAUGCGUCUCACUUUGGCAUGUUUGGAAGGGUACAUUAUGUGUAAUUUACACAAAACUAUCAAAUUAAUAGUAAAACUAGAUUAUAUCCUUAUCCUUGUUGAUCUUCACAAGGCAUGCUGAGAAAUCAGUGUGAACUUGUCCAAAUCUAGACUGGUAUAUGGCAUUACCAUCAUUCAAAGUGGCCAAGGUAUCUAAAGUUGAACGUCUUCACAAUUGUGCCUUCUAUUAUUGAUCAGUAUUAUUAAUCACUCCAGGGAAAUAAUGUUUCUAUGAAUAGUACUUUUAAACUUCCUUUUCUUAGCUAACUUUCAACUUUCUGCAUUUGACAAUACCCCAUCUUCCUGGAUUAUUGCUUAUGAUUCAGUGUCAUCU
This is an RNA transcript of Microtus ochrogaster (prairie vole), 1162 nucleotides long. RefSeq lists it as uncharacterized. The record is from RefSeq and is a predicted model, not a curated record. NCBI's taxonomy places the organism in Eukaryota, Metazoa, Chordata, Mammalia, Rodentia, Cricetidae.